UGCUUGGGUAGCUCAGUUGGUAGAGCACUUGCCCGUGAAAGGCAAAGGUCCCGAGUUCGAGUCUCGGCCCAGCAC
Molecule: transfer RNA, 75 nt
Filed under: Schistocerca americana (American grasshopper)
Lineage: Eukaryota; Metazoa; Arthropoda; Insecta; Orthoptera; Acrididae
Also listed under: 2 other names
Description: tRNA-Ser
Rfam family: tRNA
About the family: Transfer RNA (tRNA) molecules are approximately 80 nucleotides in length. Their secondary structure includes four short double-helical elements and three loops (D, anti-codon, and T loops).
Source: RNAcentral